CUAUGCGCCUUGCCAGCCCGCUCAGAAACUUAAAGGAAUUGACGGGGGCCCGCACAAGCGGAGGAACAUGUGGUUUAAUUCGAUGAUACGCGAGGAACCUUACCUGGGCUAGAACGCAUUCGGAAUCAGGCCGAAAGGCCUGCGCCAGCGAUGGCCGCUUGCGAGGUGCUGCAUGGUUGUCGUCAGCUCGUGCCGUGAGGUGUCGGGUUAAGUCCCAUAACGAGCGCAACCCCUACUGCUAGUUGCCAGCGGGUCAUGCCGGGGACUCUAGCGGAACUGCCAGCGUAAGCUGCGAGGAAGGUGGGGAUGACGUCAAAUCAGCACGGCCCUUACGUCCAGGGCUACACACGUGUUACAAUGGCCGGUACAGAGGGCAGCCACCCCGCGAGGGGGCGCGAAUCCCGAAAGCCGGUCCCAGUUCGGAUCGGAGUCUGCAACCCGACUCCGUGAAGCUGGAUUCGCUAGUAAUCGCGCAUCAGCCACGGCGCGGUGAAUACGUUCCCGGGCCUU
Molecule: ribosomal RNA, 510 nt
Filed under: uncultured Rikenellaceae bacterium
Lineage: Bacteria; Pseudomonadati; Bacteroidota; Bacteroidia; Bacteroidales; Rikenellaceae
Description: bacterial SSU rRNA
Rfam family: Bacterial small subunit ribosomal RNA
Source: RNAcentral